Molecule: ribosomal RNA, 495 nt
Filed under: uncultured bacterium
Lineage: Bacteria
Description: partial 16S ribosomal RNA
Rfam family: Bacterial small subunit ribosomal RNA
Source: RNAcentral
GACGAACGCUGGCGGCGUGCCUAAUACAUGCAAGUAGAACGCUGAAGGAGGAGCUUGCUUCUCUGGAUGAGUUGCGAACGGGUGAGUAACGCGUAGGUAACCUGCCUGGUAGCGGGGGAUAACUAUUGGAAACGAUAGCUAAUACCGCAUAAUAGUAGAUGUUGCAUGACAUUUGCUUAAAAGGUGCAAUUGCAUCACUACCAGAUGGACCUGCGUUGUAUUAGCUAGUUGGUGGGGUAACGGCUCACCAAGGCGACGAUACAUAGCCGACCUGAGAGGGGGAUCGGCCACACUGGGACUGAGACACGGCCCAGACUCCUACGGGAGGCAGCAGUAGGGAAUCUUCGGCAAUGGACGGAAGUCUGACCGAGCAACGCCGCGUGAGUGAAGAAGGUUUUCGGAUCGUAAAGAUCUGUUGUAAGAGAAGAACGAGUGUGAGAGUGGAAAGUUCACACUGUGACGGUAGCUUACCAGAAAGGGACGGCUAACUACGUG